UACGUAGGGACCAAGCGUUGUUCGGAUUUACUGGGCGUAAAGGGCGCGUAGGCGGCGUGGCAAGUCACUUGUGAAAUCUCUGAGCUUAACUCAGAACGGCCAAGUGAUACUGCUGUGCUAGAGUGCAGAAGGGGCAAUCGGAAUUCUUGGUGUAGCGGUGAAAUGCGUAGAUAUCAAGAGGAACACCUGAGGUGAAGACGGGUUGCUGGGCUGACACUGACGCUGAGGCGCGAAAGCCAGGGGAGCAAACGGG
Molecule: ribosomal RNA, 253 nt
Filed under: uncultured bacterium
Lineage: Bacteria
Description: partial 16S ribosomal RNA
Rfam family: Bacterial small subunit ribosomal RNA
Source: RNAcentral